Molecule: transfer RNA, 63 nt
Filed under: Notolachesilla sp. GRA1sp1LA
Lineage: Eukaryota; Metazoa; Arthropoda; Insecta; Psocodea; Lachesillidae
Description: tRNA-Leu
Source: RNAcentral
UCUAAUAUGGCAGAUUAGUGCAUUGAAUUUAAGCUUCAAAUAUAAAGACCUCUUUUUUUAGAA